UAAUACGAAGGGGGCUAGCGUUGUUCGGAAUUACUGGGCGUAAAGCGCACGUAGGCGGAUAUUUAAGUCAGGGGUGAAAUCCCGGGGCUCAACCCCGGAACUGCCUUUGAUACUGGGUAUCUUGAGUUCGAGAGAGGUGAGUGGAAUUCCGAGUGUAGAGGUGAAAUUCGUAGAUAUUCGGAGGAACACCAGUGGCGAAGGCGGCUCACUGGCUCGAUACUGACGCUGAGGUGCGAAAGCGUGGGGAGCAAACAGG
RNAcentral lists this ribosomal RNA (256 nucleotides) under uncultured archaeon. RNAcentral's name for it is "partial 16S ribosomal RNA". It matches the Rfam family "Bacterial small subunit ribosomal RNA", at positions 521 to 776 of the family's 1533-position model. The record is from RNAcentral.